RNAcentral lists this ribosomal RNA (496 nucleotides) under Caddo agilis. RNAcentral's name for it is "partial 16S ribosomal RNA". It matches the Rfam family "Bacterial large subunit ribosomal RNA", at positions 1850 to 2622 of the family's 2925-position model. The record is from RNAcentral. Lineage: Eukaryota; Metazoa; Arthropoda; Arachnida; Opiliones; Caddidae.
AAGUAGUACCUGCUCAUGAUGAAUUUUCAAUAGCCGCAGUAUAUUGACUGUGCUAAGGUAGCAUAAUCAUUUGUCUUUUAAUUUAAGGCUAGAAUGAAUGGUUUAAUGGAGAAGAGCUGUCUCAAGGUAGUAUAUUGAAUUUUGAUUUUUAGUAAAAAUACUAAAAUAUAAUUGAGGGACGAUAAGACCCUAUUAAGCUUUACUUUAUAAGUAUUUUUAGGUUUUACUAAUAAAAUUAGUUUUAAAGUUUUGUUGGGGCGAUAAGUUAAAUAAAGUAUCUUAACUUAGUUAUAAAAUUUUCAAAAGAGCCAUUAAAUUAAUGAUCUUGGGAUUAAGUUACUAUAGGGAUAACAGGAUAAUUUAUUUAGAGAGUUCUAAUCGAUAAAUAAGUUUGUUACCUCGAUGUUGAAUUAAAAUUUCAUUAGGGUGUAGAAGCUCUAUAAAGAAAGUCUGUUCGACUUUUUAAUUUUUACAUGAUCUGAGUUCAAACCGGAGA